GCAAUCGUAACUCAAGUUGGAUGAGUCUUAGUACGCGGGUUCGAUUCCCGCCGAUUGCA
RNAcentral lists this transfer RNA (59 nucleotides) under Schleiferilactobacillus harbinensis. Its description in RNAcentral is "Lactobacillus harbinensis tRNA-OTHER". It matches the Rfam family "tRNA". From Rfam's summary of the family: Transfer RNA (tRNA) molecules are approximately 80 nucleotides in length. The record is from RNAcentral. Lineage: Bacteria; Bacillati; Bacillota; Bacilli; Lactobacillales; Lactobacillaceae.